UACGAAGGGUGCAAGCGUUGCUCGGAAUUAUUGGGCGUAAAGGGUAGGUAGGUGGUUACGUAUGUCUGAGGUGAAAGCCCUAAGCUUAACUUAGGAAGUGCCCCGGAAACGGCGUAACUAGAGUGCUGGAGAGGUUCGUAGAAUUCCCGGUGUAGCGGUGAAAUGCGUAGAGAUCGGGAGGAAUACCAGAGGCGAAGGCGGCGAACUGGACAGUUACUGACACUAAACUACGAAAGCGUGGGGAGCAAACAGG
Molecule: ribosomal RNA, 253 nt
Filed under: uncultured bacterium
Lineage: Bacteria
Description: partial 16S ribosomal RNA
Rfam family: Bacterial small subunit ribosomal RNA
Source: RNAcentral